CAAGGUCACUAGGUGAGGGGGGAGGGGAGGAAGGCUAUUUCUUUGUUGUUGGAGCCAGUGGGAUGCUGUGGCCAUCAGGCCACGUGUCCCACGUUUGUCAGGCCCCUAACAUUCACCAGGCACUGAGCAAUGCUGAGUGCAGCUGGGUGUGGGGCACACGUCUAUAAUCCCAGCACUCCGGAGGCUGAGGCAGGAGGAUUGCCACGAAUUCUCCUCCCAGAACACAGAGAAUUCCACAUGUCCCUACUCUGAAAGAUCUUCAGAAUGGUAGGAAACUAACAUUUAGCCUGUGCUGCACCGUUGAGAGCAAAGAAGAGGGACCUCUUGAUGCCGUCUUGGUCAGGAAUGAGGCUGAGAAAGAAUAACCCCAAGACUGAAUGUUGACGGAUCACUAGGAAUUUUCCAGGCAAAAGUUGGGAAAAACAGUGCAGAAGAAAACCACUUGACGGAAGUUCUGGAGACUGGAUGUUGUAAAAGAUUCUCCUGAGACCUUCUUCCUCAUUAUCAAACCCUGAAGCUGUUGUAUCACCUCAUCAGGCAAGACAGAGCCAAUGGAUUACAAAGAGGAAUUUCAAAAUCAGACACACAAGCCUAAACAUUGCAUGAUUUUUCUUAUACAAGAAACCCAAAAUAUAAAUAAAGAGCAAACUAAAAGCUAGAUAGUAGGGAGAUAAAUCCUUCUCAAAUGGGAAGGGGAUCAAGAGAUGGAGAGAAGGGGAGGGAGCAAAGGGAAAAGGGAUGAAAAAGGAAUUCAGAUGUGUUAUGUACAUGCAUUAACUCCACACAAGGAAUGUAAACAUGAUGUAUUGCAAACAUGUAUAAAUAAAUAAGUAAAAGGCAUUUCAUCAAAGCUCUAGCUUUGUCAACCUGAAACCUAUGCAAUUUGAGAAGCUCUUUUGAACACAAAAGCACAAGGGUUGUUCUGGCAACUUUGAAAGGAGCUGAGGCAAAGUAUGGGCCUAAGCCUGACUCUCUGGCUUCACUGGUGUGUGGUCCCCCUCCCCCCACCCUGGCUUCUCUACCUCACGUAAGCUUGAUUCUUGGUUCAAUUUUCUUCUUUUGCCUGAACUCCCCAUUCUCCAUACAGUGUCAGAUAAUCCCACAGAGUACAUCAAACCUAAUGUGGUUUUCUCCUGUAAACAGCUACUUAAGAUACUAUGCC
This 1162-nucleotide long non-coding RNA is filed under the name Heterocephalus glaber (naked mole-rat). Its description in RNAcentral is "lncRNA (ENSHGLG00100052235.1)". The record is from RNAcentral. Lineage: Eukaryota; Metazoa; Chordata; Mammalia; Rodentia; Bathyergidae.